This 263-nucleotide ribosomal RNA is filed under the name uncultured archaeon. Its description in RNAcentral is "partial 16S ribosomal RNA". It matches the Rfam family "Archaeal small subunit ribosomal RNA", at positions 717 to 982 of the family's 1478-position model. The record is from RNAcentral.
AGUCACUGACAUUAGAUACCCGUGUAGUCCAGGGUGUAAACGCUGCAGACUUGGUGUUGGGAACCCUUCGGGGUGCUCAGUGCCGGAGAGAAGUUGUUAAGUCUGCUACUUGGGAGUACGUCCGCAAGGAUGAAACUUAAAGGAAUUGGCGGGGGAGCACCGCAACGGGAGGAGCGUGCGGUUUAAUUGGAUUCAACGCCGAAAAACUCACCAGCAGCGACUGUUACAUGAAAGUCAGGUUGAUGACCUUACUAGAUUUUCAG